CCAUAACCGUUGAGUGCCCCUGUGUGUGACAGAGACCAAGGAGGAGGUUUCUGACACAUCUGGCCUGGUGAGCUGAACCAGGUCAGAAAGGGCAAAUUAUAGAUGCAGGCAGAUCCAAUCGUCCAGCCCGGACCUUUGGCUCCUGAUACCAACAACGACGGAUACCCAGAGGGUUAAAAGUGGACUCAACAUGCCACUGCAGUAUGUACUAUUACGUUUGUCAGAAAAAGAAAGCAACGCCAUCUGCUGGCGAAGAGAAGCCAUUGUAAUGCAGCAUGGCAAAUAUCUUAUUUACAUAAAUCAAUUUGGCUGGCAGUGGCAAAUUGUACUGCUCUUUUUGUCAGUGAGUGACAACACUAAUGUUCACCAAAUAAGUGAUUAGCAGCUAAAUUGAGAAUUAAAUAGUGCGUUGUUGCAUCUCUAACUAGAUCAAUAGAUGAAUGUUUACAGACUGGGCACGUGCAGCUAAUCCUAACUGCUCGAGUCAAAAAGAUGGACAGCAAACGAAUGAGUACUUGAUCGAGUUGUCCAGCUCAAGGAGAAGACAAGAUACAUUGUCAACAAAAAAGAUCAAAUUAACGAAGUGUAACAGCAAGCCUGCACUGUCCAAGAAGAAACGAAAGGAUGAGAGAAGGUCGAUGCCUCCACCACGACCCGUGAUAGAGACCGCUGCCCGAUGUCAAGGUGAAGGAGAGAGAUCACAGAGACGGAGAAGUCCUAGCGUUGGCCAAAGAUUCUCGUUCCUUCCUUGUUCCUCCAUGUCCGAUACAGGCACUCCUCAGAGCAUGAUGAAUGAAGACCUCUUCACCUUCUACCAGAGAGACGAGCACACGUCAACCAACCAACCUCAGUGGGCAGCCAGACAGGCUGUGUUAAGGACCAUCGGUAGGAUGCUGCAGGAGAACAGAAGCAUCAGAGAGAGACUGGUCUCCCUCAGCCAUAGCAUAGGCUAUACAUUGAACUCAGUCUGAAGACUAGAUUACAAUCUGGGAAUGAUACAUAGAUUAUGGAACUUCUCUUUCCCUCUCAAACUCAGGAAUGGAAUAUUUUUUAUUUGUUUCCCUUCAAUGUUAUGAUUUUGUUUUAACCAAGUUUAUGGACUACCUGGCAAAUGUGCUGAUUUGAGAUGGAAUGAAGAUGAGGUUAUUUAUGUUACCUGAAACUAAACCUGUACUGUACAUCUCGAGCAAUCUGUUCCUAUAGUUUCCUCUGGUUGAAGAAAUAGACUAAUAUACGUUGGUUUUGAUGGGGAACACACAGAUUUUUACUGUUGUCAACUAUUUUGACUGUUGUCAUGGGGAACAAAGAGUUCUGAAUUAAAACAACUUCUUGAGGAGAAAGUGUUGUUAAUUUCUGUUAUGUCUGGUGAGCUAUAACAGGUCAACCCACCCUCCUGGAGUGCUACUACUGGGUAUGAAGGCUGUUGCACCAGCCCUUCUUCCUCAUGGAGAACCUCACCUCUUUUUCCACUAGAGGGAAGUGUCUCUAUUUUGUGUGUGUGUGGGUGUGUUAGAUACUGUACACUCAGCCACCUAAAGGUAGAAUACACAGGUCAGCCACAGCUCAACUUUCUCAGUCAGAGGUUCUCAGUAGAGCCUGUGAGUGUCCAAAAUGGCACCUUAAUCCCUUUAUAGUGCACUACUUAUGAACAGAACCCUAUGUGUUUCUGUUCCCUGCUCAUUAUUAGUGAAUUAACAACCCACAGCCAACAUGUGGUUCUGUUUCCUGCUCCUUAUUAGUGAAUUAACAACCCACAGCCAACAUGUGGUUCUGUUUCCUGCUCCUUAUUAGUGAAUUAACAACCCACAGCCAACAUGUGUUUCUGUUCCCUGCUCCUUAUUAGUGAAUUAACAACCCACAGCCAACAUGUGGUUCUGCUUAUCCUAACAUCAUUAGCUGUAGUAUUUACAGGCCAGUUGUGUUGCCCUGUGUAUCACAACACACUCAAGUCUGGCCUUGUACAGUAUACACAUGGAACACAACACACACACAGAAAAACAUCCCCUAAAGGAUCAGCUAUAUUGAUCAACUGACA
This is a long non-coding RNA of Oncorhynchus tshawytscha (Chinook salmon), 2035 nucleotides long. NCBI's taxonomy places the organism in Eukaryota, Metazoa, Chordata, Actinopteri, Salmoniformes, Salmonidae. The record is from Ensembl.